GAUGAACGCUGGCGGCGUGCCUAAUACAUGCAAGUCGAGCGAACGGACGAGAAGCUUGCUUCUCUGAUGUUAGCGGCGGACGGGUGAGUAACACGUGGAUAGCCUACCUAUAAGACUGGGAUAACUUCGGGAAACCGGAGCUAAUACCGGAUAAUAUUUUGAACCGCAUGGUUCAAAAGUGAAAGACGGUCUUGCUGUCACUUAUAGAUGGAUCCGCGCUGCAUUAGCUAGUUGGUAAGGUAACGGCUUACCAAGGCAACGAUGCAUAGCCGACCUGAGAGGGUGAUCGGCCACACUGGAACUGAGACACGGUCCAGACUCCUACGGGAGGAAGCAGUAGGGAAUCUUCCGCAAUGGGCGAAAGCCUGACGGAGCAACGCCGCGUGAGUGAUGAAGGUCUUCGGAUCGUAAAACUCUGUUAUUAGGGAAGAACAUAUGUGUAAGUAACUGUGCACAUCUUGACGGUACCUAAUCAGAAAGCCACGGCUAACUACGUG
This 497-nucleotide ribosomal RNA is filed under the name uncultured bacterium. RNAcentral's name for it is "partial 16S ribosomal RNA". It matches the Rfam family "Bacterial small subunit ribosomal RNA", at positions 28 to 507 of the family's 1533-position model. The record is from RNAcentral.